This 442-nucleotide ribosomal RNA is filed under the name uncultured bacterium. RNAcentral describes it as "partial 16S ribosomal RNA". It matches the Rfam family "Bacterial small subunit ribosomal RNA", at positions 338 to 795 of the family's 1533-position model. The record is from RNAcentral.
CCUACGGGAGGCAGCAGUGGGGAAUAUUGGGCAAUGGGCGCAAGCCUGACCCAGCAACGCCGCGUGAAGGAAGAAGGCUUUCGGGUUGUAAACUUCUUUUAAGAGGGAAGAGCAGAAGACGGUACCUCUUGAAUAAGGACCGGCUAAUUCCGUGCCAGCAGCCGCGGUAAUACGGAAGGUCCGGGCGUUAUCCGGAUUUAUUGGGUUUAAAGGGAGCGUAGGCCGCAUGUCAAGCGUGCUGUGAAAUGUCCGGGCUCAACCCGGGCCUUGCAGCGCGAACUGGCGUGCUUGAGUCCGCGGAAAGCAGGCGGAAUUCGUCGUGUAGCGGUGAAAUGCUUAGAUAUGACGAAGAACCCCGAUUGCGAAGGCAGCUUGCUGCAGCGGAACUGACGCUGAUGCUCGAAAGCGCGGGUAUCGAACAGGAUUAGAUACCCCUGUAGUC